UUCGAAGCAACGCGAAGAACCUUACCUGGCUUGACAUACACCGGAUCGGGCUAGAGAUAGUCUUUCCCUUGUGGCUGGUGUACAGGUGGUGCAUGGUUGUCGUCAGCUCGUGUCGUGAGAUGUUGGGUUAAGUCCCGCAACGAGCGCAACCCUUGUCUUAUGUUGCCAGCACGUGAUGGUGGGGACUCAUGAGAGACUGCCGGGGUUAACUCGGAGGAAGGUGGGGAUGACGUCAAAUCAUCAUGCCCCUUAUGUCCAGGGCUUCACACAUGCUACAAUGGUCGGUACAACGCGUGUGCGACACUGUGAGGUGAAGCUAAUCGCUCUAAAGCCGGUCGCAGUUCGGAUUGGGGUCUGCAACUCGACCCCAUGAAGUCGGAGUCGCUAGUAAUCGCAGAUCAGCAACGCUGCGGUGAAUACGUUCCCGGGCCUU
Molecule: ribosomal RNA, 433 nt
Filed under: uncultured Corynebacterium sp.
Lineage: Bacteria; Bacillati; Actinomycetota; Actinomycetes; Mycobacteriales; Corynebacteriaceae
Description: bacterial SSU rRNA
Rfam family: Bacterial small subunit ribosomal RNA
Source: RNAcentral